CAUGCAAGUCGAACGAUGAUGCCCAGCUUGCUGGGUGGAUUAGUGGCGAACGGGUGAGUAACACGUGAGUAACCUGCCCCUGACUCUGGGAUAAGCGUUGGAAACGACGUCUAAUACUGGAUAUGAUCACUGGCCGCAUGGUCUGGUGGUGGAAAGAUUUUUUGGUUGGGGAUGGACUCGCGGCCUAUCAGCUUGUUGGUGAGGUAAUGGCUCACCAAGGCGACGACGGGUAGCCGGCCUGAGAGGGUGACCGGCCACACUGGGACUGAGACACGGCCCAGACUCCUACGGGAGGCAGCAGUGGGGAAUAUUGCACAAUGGGCGAAAGCCUGAUGCAGCAACGCCGCGUGAGGGAUGACGGCCUUCGGGUUGUAAACCUCUUUUAGUAGGGAAGAAGCGAAAGUGACGGUACCUGCAGAAAAAGCACCGGCUAACUACGUGCCAGCAGCCGCGGUAAUACGUAGGGUGCAAGCGUUGUCCGGAAUUAUUGGGCGUAAAGAGCUCGUAGGCGGUUUGUCGCGUCUGCUGUGAAAUCCCGAGGCUCAACCUCGGGCUUGCAGUGGGUACGGGCAGACUAGAGUGCGGUAGGGGAGAUUGGAAUUCCUGGUGUAGCGGUGGAAUGCGCAGAUAUCAGGAGGAACACCGAUGGCGAAGGCAGAUCUCUGGGCCGUAACUGACGCUGAGGAGCGAAAGCAUGGGGAGCGAACAGGAUUAGAUACCCUGGUAGUCCAUGCCGUAAACGUUGGGCGCUAGAUGUAGGGACCUUUCCACGGUUUCUGUGUCGUAGCUAACGCAUUAAGCGCCCCGCCUGGGGAGUACGGCCGCAAGGCUAAAACUCAAAGGAAUUGACGGGGGCCCGCACAAGCGGCGGAGCAUGCGGAUUAAUUCGAUGCAACGCGAAGAACCUUACCAAGGCUUGACAUACACCGGAAACGGCCAGAGAUGGUCGCCCCCUUGUGGUCGGUGUACAGGUGGUGCAUGGUUGUCGUCAGCUCGUGUCGUGAGAUGUUGGGUUAAGUCCCGCAACGAGCGCAACCCUCGUUCUAUGUUGCCAGCGGGUUAUGCCGGGGACUCAUAGGAGACUGCCGGGGUCAACUCGGAGGAAGGUGGGGAUGACGUCAAAUCAUCAUGCCCCUUAUGUCUUGGGCUUCACGCAUGCUACAAUGGCCGGUACAAAGGGCUGCGAUACCGUAAGGUGGAGCGAAUCCCAAAAAGCCGGUCUCAGUUCGGAUUGAGGUCUGCAACUCGACCUCAUGAAGUCGGAGUCGCUAGUAAUCGCAGAUCAGCAACGCUGCGGUGAAUACGUUCCCGGGCCUUGUACACACCGCCCGUCAAGUCAUGAAAGUCGGUAACACCCGAAGCCGGUGGCCUAACCCUUGUGGAAGGAGCCGUCGAAGGUGGGAUCGGUGAUAGGACUAAGUCGUAACAAGUGCGACAGUC
RNAcentral lists this ribosomal RNA (1440 nucleotides) under Curtobacterium sp. PL41. Its description in RNAcentral is "bacterial SSU rRNA". It matches the Rfam family "Bacterial small subunit ribosomal RNA". Lineage: Bacteria; Bacillati; Actinomycetota; Actinomycetes; Micrococcales; Microbacteriaceae. The record is from RNAcentral.